AGAGUUUGAUCAUGGCUCAGAACGAACGCUGGCGGCAGGCCUAACACAUGCAAGUCGAGCGCGCCCUUCGGGGUGAGCGGCGGACGGGUUAGUAACGCGUGGGAACGUACCCUUUUGGUAGGGAAUAGCCACUGGAAACGGUGAGUAAUACCCUAUGAGCCCUUCGGGGGGAAAGAUUUAUCGCCAAAGGAUCGGCCCGCGUUAGAUUAGGUAGUUGGUGGGGUAAUGGCCUACCAAGCCUACGAUCUAUAGCUGGUUUUAGAGGAUGAUCAGCAACACUGGGACUGAGACACGGCCCAGACUCCUACGGGAGGCAGCAGUGGGGAAUCUUGGACAAUGGGGGCAAACCCCUGAUCCAGCCAUGCCGCGUGAGUGAAGAAGGCCUUAGGGUCGUAAAGCUCUUUCGCCUGUGAAGAUAAUGACGGUAGCAGGUAAAGAAACCCCGGCUAACCCCGUGCCAGCCGCCGC
RNAcentral lists this ribosomal RNA (468 nucleotides) under uncultured bacterium. RNAcentral's name for it is "bacterial SSU rRNA". It matches the Rfam family "Bacterial small subunit ribosomal RNA", at positions 8 to 518 of the family's 1533-position model. The record is from RNAcentral.